UGCCUCGUAGCUCAGCUGGUAGAGCAUGCGCGUAGCGUAGGCGGUGUCCAUGCGUGGGUUUGAAUCCCACCGAGGCUA
Molecule: transfer RNA, 78 nt
Filed under: Echinostoma caproni
Lineage: Eukaryota; Metazoa; Platyhelminthes; Trematoda; Plagiorchiida; Echinostomatidae
Rfam family: tRNA
About the family: Transfer RNA (tRNA) molecules are approximately 80 nucleotides in length. Their secondary structure includes four short double-helical elements and three loops (D, anti-codon, and T loops). Further hydrogen bonds mediate the characteristic L-shaped molecular structure. tRNAs have two regions of fundamental functional importance: the anti-codon, which is responsible for specific mRNA codon recognition, and the 3' end, to which the tRNAs corresponding amino acid is attached (by aminoacyl-tRNA synthetases). tRNAs cope with the degeneracy of the genetic code in two manners: having more than one tRNA (with a specific anti-codon) for a particular amino acid; and 'wobble' base-pairing, i.e. permitting non-standard base-pairing at the 3rd anti-codon position.
Source: Rfam by way of RNAcentral